CACACCCGUGUCUUCCACCAAGAGGAAGCCGCCGCCGAUGCCGCCUCCGCCUGCAUACCCGCUCCCGCCCGCGCCCGCCGCGCUUGCCGGUGCCCCCGCCCCGGCCAAGGUUUGUGUCGCUACUCGCUAGACUAGAAUUCCGCGCGCGGACCUUUGCCGGCCGAGCCGUUCUGCGGCAUCUCGACGGGGACAACCAUGCGAAUUUCCUUGGCGUCCACGUUGACGCCACCUGAGCCACCACCGGUGAAGGCCGGCUGGCCGCUGACCUCCGAGACAGGGGAGGCGCCCGAGCUCCACAACGGCCGCGGGCCUCGACGACUGGGCUAAGGCCGAGCGCUCGUCGAAGUUGGACUGCCGCUGCGUCAGCCCCCUCGACCGCUGCGACACCGACAACCAGCGCACCGUGACGUGGAGCCUAUCGUCCUCCGCCACCUCGGCCUCCAUCUCGGCGCGCCCGCCCUACAGCGACAACACGUCCGGGUCCACAUGCAGCGACGCGAUGGCUGCCGUGGUGUCAGGGAACUGGUCCACGAUGAGCGUCCGCGCGGCGCAGAACUUGAAGAGGAACAGCAGCAGUGUGUACCAUAUGAUGCACUGGAGGGCAGGCUUGAGCACGCGGCCAGCCUCGCGAGGACGACCAGCUUCUGCAGCGUGUCCGCUGCCAGGAACCGGAGAUUCAUGGCGUACAGGUCGUUGGUGGAGAUGAAGUGGAAGGAUUUGAAUCAAGGUUCAUUUAUUUUCAGGCGUGGAAAGUAUUGCAGAUAGAUGUCUCUAUUUUCACGUCAUCAUUAGUUGAUGUUCAGGUAUAUUGUCUUUAACAUCUAUGUAUUUUCUAUGAAUAAAUUAUCUCAUGGAAGUUAUAUUCCUUUUCUAGAAAUCGUUGGAGAGAAUGUUAUCCAAAGGAAAUAUUUUAAUUGGCCAUAGCUUACAUAGAGAUUUAUGCGCCUUAAAGAUUGAUUACUCUCAAGUUAUUGAUACAACAUACAUAUUUAAGUAUGCAAAUUUACCGACUACUGCAUCACCUUCCUUGAACAGUCUGUGCAAGGCUGUUUUGGAGUAUUUAGUUCGAGAAGAAGGAGAACCACAUAAUUGCUUAAAGGAUGCAGAAGCUGCAAUGAAUCUAGUUCUUGCAAAGCUUAAGAAUGAGUUUAAUGACCCCAUUGAAAUUGCUGCAAGUAUUGUAAGCGCCAAAAAAAGAUGUUCUUAAAUCUUACCAUUAGUAUAGAUGAUGCCACCUUACUUCUUUGUGGUACCUUCCUAGGUAACUGAAUCUGAUUUUGUGAAGUUGCUCGCUCAUAGAAUUCUAGUGUCUUAUUAUGACUAUGGAUGAGACUUUUGUGAUGUAAUUGAUGAGACUAUGGAUUUAAAUAUUAUUAUGUGAUUGUGUGU
Zea mays is the source of this 1389-nucleotide RNA transcript. It is a transcript of the gene named small RNA degrading nuclease pseudogene, with no coding region annotated. The transcript is spliced from 3 exons. The record is from RefSeq and is marked validated. NCBI's taxonomy places the organism in Eukaryota, Viridiplantae, Streptophyta, Magnoliopsida, Poales, Poaceae.